RNAcentral lists this ribosomal RNA (250 nucleotides) under uncultured bacterium. RNAcentral's name for it is "partial 16S ribosomal RNA". It matches the Rfam family "Bacterial small subunit ribosomal RNA", at positions 524 to 773 of the family's 1533-position model. The record is from RNAcentral.
GACAGAGGGUGCAAACGUUGUUCGGAUUUACUGGGCGUAAAGCGUGUGUAGGCGGCUUCGCAAGUUGGAUGUGAAAUCCCACGGCUCAACCGUGGACGUGCAUCCAAAACUGCGUCGCUGGAGUCUCGGAGAGGAAGGUGGAAUGCUUGGUGUAGAGGUGAAAUUCGUAGAUAUCAAGCAGAACACCUGCGGCGAAGGCGGCCUUCUGGACGAUGACUGACGCUGAGACACGAAAGCGUGGGGAGCAAAC